This 497-nucleotide ribosomal RNA is filed under the name uncultured bacterium. RNAcentral's name for it is "partial 16S ribosomal RNA". It matches the Rfam family "Bacterial small subunit ribosomal RNA", at positions 38 to 507 of the family's 1533-position model. The record is from RNAcentral.
GGGGGGGGGGGGGGGGGGGGGUGGGGGGGGGGGGGCGGGGGAGGGGGGGGGGGGGUUGCUGGUGGGAAGUUAGCGGCGGAGGGGUGCGUGACACGUGGGGGACCUCGCUGGAGGACUGGGAUAACUUCGGGAAACCGGAGCUACGACCGGAUCAGCUAUGGAACCGCACGGUUGCAGAGUUCAAGAAGGUUUUGCUCGAGCUACUAGCGGGGUCCGCGCCGGCUGAGCUAGUUGGUCAGGUAACGGCUUACAAAGGCAACGAUGCGUAGUACACCUGGGAGGGUACUCGGCCACACUGGAGCGGCGACACGGUCCAGACUCCUACGGGAGGAAGCAGUAGGGAAUCUUCCGCAAUGGGCGAAAGCCUGACGGAGCAACGCCGCGUGAGUGAUGAAGGUCUUCGGAUCGUAAAACUCUGUUAUUAGGGAAGAACAAAUGUGUAAGUAACUAUGCACGUCUUGACGGUACCUAAUCAGAAAGCCACGGCUAACUACGUG